CGGUUCUCCCCUUCGCAGGGCCCGGAGCAGGGGGAGGGAGGGGGGUGCGGCCUCGGCCGAGGCGGCGGCAGCGGGGCUGCCCCGGCGGUGUCCCGGCACAGGCCGUUCCUGGCGCUCCGCCGCCUUCCUCGGCCCGCGAAGCCGGGGCCGGCCCGGUGGCAGGCCCGGCAGGCUGCCCGCGGACCACCGGCUUCUCGAGAGCGCCUUGGGGAAAGGUGUCUGUGUUGUUAAGGGAAAAUAGGGCAGUAGAUGCGGAAUGGCAGCCGUGCCUGUGCCAGGGCCCUGCCGCCCCUCCAUACCUGACCCGUGUCCGAACGGCGGCUUAAAGAGAUCAUUUGCCAGGCGCCGUGCUACUGACACGGCCUUUGGCCUUUAUCGCAAUUUGGCAAAUCAGUUGCUUCUAAUUACAAAAGCAUUUGAAACGCACCUUCCCCUUGCCCUCGUGCUGUCCGCUAGACAAGUAGACUGGAAAACAGAAGCCUGCAAAGAAAAAUGCCGGCUGACGCAGUUUCCAUAGGAGCUUAAGGAGGCCACUGUCAAGUUUAUCCCAGAUAUUUGUCUGCUAGCACAUCAGAAGAGACCAGAAAACAUCCUGUGGCUGUGGUGAAGGCAAGUACUCACCCUCUUAACACUGACCUUCAAGUAAUUGGCAACAACUAUCAUCUUUCAUAGCACUUUUCAAAGGCAGCCCUUCAAAAUCUGGUGAGCUAAUUGUGGGAAAGGCUUGCAUGGCUGCUGUCAGACCCUAACUGUGCCAAGAAGUUCCACGGGCUCUACCCCUGCCAUGGGCAUUUAGCUGCCUGUGCUUGUGGCCAGUCCUGGCAUGGCCCAGCUGUCAGCAUGGAUCUCAGUGCUGGGAAAGGAGCUGUGGGAAACCUUAUUGGGGAUCUCUGUCCCUUGGUUCAGGAGCCAGAUUUAAGCUCAGGCCCCUUGUCUGAGCUAUGCUGUAGGUACUCCCAUGCCUGGCCGUGUACCUUGCUGAUCCUGUGCUUCCCUGGCUGAUGUAACUUCCUGGCUUGACCUUGAACCUCUCUUGUCUGUAUGGUCAGCUUUGGUGGUCCUUGGACUGUGGCUGACCACUGUUGCUGUCACCAGCUGGCCUGGCUCUCUGUGUUCGGGUGCCAUGGGACCGUCAGUGAGGUCCCUGCCCACCUCACCAUCACCCUUAUCCCCAGCUUCCCUGCCCUGGUGGAGCAGCCAUGCUUCUUGCUGGCAAGGAACUGCAUGCAGGGUGUGGGUGAAAAGCAGCUUCCUUCUUCCAGGGAAAUGUGCUUUUUGGCACUCUUGCCAUGUAUUGCCCUUGCAUAAUUAAUAGUAGCAUUAACAUUGAAACAUGACUAAGAAAAAUAAUAAGCAUUCUGAUUAGAAACAAGAAAUAGAAAAGUGAAACUGCAUUAUUUUUGGCACUGUACAAAUUAUGUGCAAUGCCUAUUUCUCAAACUCAUGUUCUAUACUUUUAUGGGUGAUGUGACGUCCCUUGUGUGCUUAGAUUUUAGGAUAUGAUAGUCUUGUUUCCUCUGGAAUCUUACUCAGUAAGUUUCUGUCUCAUAUGGGACCCAUGACUUACACAGAGACAGAAGGCAUUCUGAAAACAGGAUGGUUAUGUGGCAACUUGAGCAGAUUCACAGGAGCACCCAGAUCAGACUGCUGCCUCUGAACCAGUUCUUAUUUGUAGGAAAGAUGGGAGUCAGCUGCACAUCUGUUUCCACUGGACUCCUCUCAAUUCAGAUGACAUGGCUUGCUUCUGUCCCAGUAAAGAUGGAAAAUAAACUUCUAUAUCUAACUGUACACUUUCUGGGACAGUCAAAUGAAAAUCGUGGCUAGAGGAUUAGCUGUAGCCAUUAAAACAAAAGCCAAGUUUCUGUACUUAGUGAUCCCAGGCGUGGCAGGUUAUUCUUGGCUGCUCACCGGGUGCCCACCAAGCAACUCUAUCACUCCCUGUCCUCAAUGAGCAGUGCCAGCACUGCUCACCAGCAGCCAAAACACUGCUGCAUUUUCAACACCACUCUAGCUACAAAGCAGCACACUAUGAGGCCUACUAUAGGGAAAGUUAGACUGAAUACAGCAUGUUUUCUGAAAGUAAAAAAAACCACAAACGGUUGUUUUGUUUAUCCUAAAACUUUAAAUGGCUUUUGAGUAUCCAGUUUAUUUGGAAGCAGGAAAAAGUUUUUUGCUGAGCCUUUUGUGCCCCUAGUGAAGAAUCUGUCCUCUUAAAUGCAGGAAAAAGUGGGCUGGAACAGAAUAUUCCUAGUCCUUCACAUUGUGCCUUUGGCGUUCUCCAUUUACAGCAUGUGCAAAUUGAACUUGUCCUUGAACCCUUGUGAAGUAUCCUAAGUUAGAGAAGUUGUGAUACUUAAAACAUUAGGAUAUCAGCCAUGGUAACUUAGUAUUAGAAAUAUGUAGUUGAAAGAUCUGAUCUCUGGAAUGGCUGUGCAGCAGUACAGCUGAUUUUGUUUCAGCAACAGGACUUCAGUAAGGUAAUAUCCCAGUUCAGAAUUCAGUCAUCUGUCUGCUGAGAGGAACCACAAGCAUAUGUCUGUCUUAAUGAUUAAAGAAUUUUCCUAAUGACCAUUGAGGAGCUGUUGUGAUUUGACAGCAGGAAAUCCUUCUGGCUUUUGAGUAUGUGCAAAAUAUUUUAAAGCAGGCUUUUAAGUGGUUUCCUUAGCAACCAUUCUUCAUUAGAGAUCGACACAUGCUAUUAAGUAUCAUGCUGGGUUUGGAUCAGCUUUGCAAUAUUAAAGACACUCGUUUAAAACUCUGCCAGGUCACGUGCAGUUUUGGAGCCUAGAUGGAAGCUUGCCGGCUGCCAGACUUUUUUUCCAGACAAGCAAGGACACACCCCUUGGUAGUGAGCUAGCAUAGGCACCCUGAUGGGUGGAGGAGCUGGCCCCACUCACUAUUGGCUGUUCUCUCAUCCAGGAACUGUUAGUAAAGGGAGAUUUUAUUUUCAUUCAUCUGCCACUCCACCCCCUCCCCCAAGAAAACGCUAGUGACUUGUGAUUCCCUUUUAAAGAGAUAUCAAGCACAGCUCUUAACUGAGCACAGCUCAUACUCUUUGUUUUUCUUUUAUCUCAAGUGUCUGGGGCAUCAGAUAAUUUAUCCUUCGAUCCCAUAUUCAGUGCUUAUGAUCAACAGGAAUGUCAAGCCAUUAGCAAGGUUAAUAGUGGAGAACCUGUGAGCUGUCAUUAAUAUAAAGAAGCACCUCUUCUGCUCUCCUCCAAAGCUAUACUGUUAUUUAUUUAUUAUGAUUUAGAUUGCCUUCCCUAUUUGCUAUGGAUAUUGGAAUUUAAGGCAGCUUUAGCAGAGCUGACCUGAGAAUCUUACAGGAAACAAAUGCUGCUCAGGGGAAAUGUGUUUAACGGUAAUCCUAAUGCAGGGCAUUUGCCUGGCAUUUGUCAUCAGCCUGAUCGGAUGCCCCAGCAGUGCUGGGGUCUCUAGGGGCAGACUUCUCUCUAGUUCUGGCUGGAAGCUCAGAGUUUGUUCCUGCCGCCAUAGAGUAAGAAGGAGUAAGAGUAAUUUUCUCCUGAUGCUUUCUCAGUCUGUGCCUUUGUUUACCUUGGGAUUUGGUUGCUGCAAAGCCUCCAUGUGAGGCUUCUGUCUAAAACUGUUCAGCGACACAGAGGCAGACCUAGUGUAGCACACGAUAGCUGCCUGCAGCGCCCUCAGCAUGCACAGUGCUGAGUACUGUGAGUUAUUUUGCUCUACCUUGGCACCCAGGAGGUCUUGGUUUCUGCGUGCAGUGGGAAGUGCCGAGUCCUACUGAUAAGGCUACUAAAUGAAUUUAUUAGGGUGUUGCUUUGAGAGACAGGCGGCUUUUCUGGCUUCUGUGCCCGAACUAAAAUUGGAGCAGGUAUUCAAGAGGGAAGAGGAGGGACUGCCAGUGCCUAUGGCUUUGACAGUCACUGCAUUGUUGGUCUGAAAUAGCUCAUGUCUGUUGACCUUCAGAGCUGGGCUGUGGUGGCCUUUUUCGGGCGACUUGGAAAACAGGGUGGUAAAGUGAAGUAAUGCCUGACAAGCAUCCUUUAAGGGUAAGAGUAUUCUGAUACUUGCAUUUUUUUAGGUAAGCCUGCUCUGUAGGAAUAUCUUCUUAUUUGGCCAUGCUUUUUUUUCUGUAAUUCUCCAGAUAAAGGCUUUUCCAGAACUUACAUAGGAAAAGAGAAUGCUUUUUGACAGUGGGCUGCUACUUUGUAUUCAUGGUUUUGAGGGCAGAAAUCAGCAGAAAUUUCUGAAGUUAAAACUCAUGCAGAAGUCAGAUCAUGUGUGAGCCAGCUUGUGGCUUUAUUGCACUUAAUAGCAGUUUUUAUUUCCUGUUGACGCUGUACUCGUCUUUGCUUGGUUGUGGUUAAUACAACUGCUGCUGGCUAUUAUGGAAGGAGUUACUACUUCAUCCUAAGACCGAAUAGGAAGAAUAGGAUAAUAGGCAUUAAAUGUUCGAUAAUAGGCAUUCAGUGUUCUAAAUUCAAUCUCUUCUGUAAGGCAAAAACUGAGAUAAUAUUAAAGUUAAAAAAUAUGUUUGUAAAAAAACAAAAAUCAAAGUGCCUGUAAGCAAAAUGAAAUCCUGUAGCAUCAUUUUGUAAUGUAGAUGAUUUCAUGAAAUCUCAUGUUUACAAGUAAACCUGUCAGCUUAUAAGGUCUGACCCAAAGCAUAUGGAAACUGCUGAGGAUCCUGAUGUUGACUUAACAUGGGCUGCACUGGGUCCACAGGACAAUGGAUGUGUUCAAAAUCAUGUCCAGCACUGAACAAAAGCUUCAGCAGUGUGUGUAAUCUUUGCAUGUUAUUGGCACGAGAGCGUCACCUAGAAAUACCAUAUGUAAGCAACACCCCGCUGCAUUCCAUGCAUGAUCUUUGCCUGCUUUGCCAUUUACCUUCUGUAUGGGCCCAUUACAGUAAGUGGGAAUCUGGGGUGCGGUGUAGUUGCGGUGGUUCUGCACUUGCAGACUAUCUGCUGCUGACAUCUUCUGCCAUAUUUGGUUAUUUUAAAACUUAGAUCAGUUUAGUGCAUGAAUCUGAUGAUUAUCCUUGGGGGACAAGGUGGAUGGUAGCAAUAAACAGCUGGAUGUAUAUAGAGUGAGGAUGCUGAGAACAACCAGAACUGAGUUUACUGCUGAGAGAAUAUUUAUGGGGAAUUGUACUUUUUACGGAUGAAAAUAAGAUGCAUAAACUGGUUGUUUUGUCAGUUCAGCUCUUUUUCUAGGAUAUCAGAGGUGUGAAGCAUUAACUUAAAGCUCUUUCAGUGAGAAGACCCAAGCCUGUGGCUGACUUCUCACUUCACUUCAUAGCCAUGGCUUUAUCUCUGCUUCUUAUCUGCAAAGUGGGGACAGGAAGGCUUCUCAGCAUCGCUAGGAGUGUUGUGAGGGUGAUUGCAGGAGCAGUUGUGAUGAGUUCAACAGAGGCUGGACUAUCUCCCAGGCUAGCUGUCGAGGGGGGUACCAGUCCACGAGCAGCAUAAGGCUGAGCAGCCAGCUCAUUACUGCAUUGCACAUGACUCCGUAUAGUGUCAGCGUUGUGCGUAGCUAGUAUGAAGCUUUGUGGAAAUGUGAGAGCACCUUCCUUGCUGUUUCCUUCAGGAACUGAGGAUGAUUAUAGUGUGGCCUGUCUAAUGUGUAUGGCUGCCCCCUGUUUGGGCUGCCUGGAACACCGGUGUUUGUGCUGAUCAUUCCCUGGUGCCCACUGACACAAAACUGUCCCAGCCUUCUCCAGCUGUGGCCUGACAGACAACCUUUUCCUGUGAGAAAGGCAUACUGUCACGUGGAAAAACCUGACAAAAAGGAGCUGAUCUCAUCCUGAUGAAUGACAGUAAGCAGCCCUUAGCCUGGGAUUUAUUCUGAGUGGCCUUCUGUGCAGUGCCGAAGACAUGGUCUUCCAGGUGUCCAAGGUGUAAUUGCAGUAGUAACAGUGAUUGUUUGUGUGCAAAUAAAUUCCUGGAAAUGUUUUGAAGCUGGAAGGAUUUGCUGAUGGCUAGGCUAAGUCAUCAAGCCACACACAGUUAGUUACUUUCCUAUGGAAACAUUUCACCAUUUUCAGAAGAUCAGUUUCAUCUUCAAAAAUGCAUCUUCAGCUUCAGGUUCAAAUCCCUCGCUGAUGCAAGAGAGCAAACAACUCAGCUGAAAUCAACAGAACUCGAUCCCCUUACUUCAAUGGUAAAUUAAUCCUGCCUCUGCCUUUUCACCUAAUCUCUUCAGCCCAGAGAAACAAAUUAAAUUGUCAGUGCUUGAAAGAAAAGGCCUGUUUAGUUUUCAGGGCAAGACAAUACAGGGGGAAGAAAGAGAUAAUAUUUGCAUUUAGCUUCAUUCAAGGAGUGGAGGUGCCAUGGUUAUGCUGUUAAAUGUCAUGCUGUGUUUGCUCCACUUGCAUCUAUUCACCCGAGCAGGAUUAACUAUCUAGGAUGAUAUUUGUGAAUAUUACUUGAUUUUUUUUUAAGAACAAGCGGAGGGUAAUUCAGAAGCCAGUUUUGAAAAGAGUUGCAUAUACGAUAGUAAGUAUUGAUAAAAACAAAAAUGAAGAAUGGCUCCUUACUUCUUGGCUCUACUGGGACAGGAGGUGGCAAACCUUACCUGUUUUUUGCAUCAAGCUAAGGGAAUGCUAAUUUCAAGAAGGUGAGCACAUCCUGGUUUGGUCUGUCACACCUGCUGUAUUCUAAACCUAGGCGACCCUGGCCCAGAUGUAGUCCUGGGUGAAUACCAAAAUGCUGGACGUUAUUUGAUCGGUUGGGAAAACCUGGGUAAGAGGAAAUGUUUCCUCAUGGGUUCUCACAGGUCCCAGCUCCACUCGCCUUGGGUCUCUGCUCCUGGAGACCCUUGUGAGCUGUUCAGCCUGUUCAGUCUUUAUCUUCCAGGUGAAUAAUUUUGUGCAGUUGUAUCUGCACGAUUAUGUUCUGUCUCUCAUUUGGGGUUUCAGGUUGCUUUCAGCCUGUGUUUAAGAUCUCAUUUUUUUCUACACCACCGUGAAACAACUGUUUUUCUACUAUGGCUUGAUCCACAGAUAGAAAUAAGCAAAACGAUGUUUUGUGCUCAGUGUCCCAAAUAAGAAAAUGCAUGACUGGGUCAGCCCACGUUCAGGUAAGAACUGGGAGAAGUUGCAUGACAUAUGCAAGUGCAACUAUUCUUUAGUGAAACAGAGUACUGUCAGGCACAUCCAGUGCUCAGCUGCCAGUAUAGUGCUUUUAUUUAGUGUCUGAGCCUAAAAACAAUGAUGAUUCUUCAACAAUGUACUUCCAUGGAGAAUUAAUGACACUCGGUACUACCUGUUUUUUUCCAGAGCUUUCUGGUUUUUGGGUGGAUGAGGGGAGUAAUCUCAGAGCAAUAAAUUCAAUGGGAAUUUUUUUAUUGAUACCUGUAAAGUUUUUACUGUAGAACAGAACCAGCCAAGAUGCUCCACAAAAGUACAUGUAAGUUUUAUUAAUCUUCCGCCCCUCCAGCCCCAUUUCCUUCCUGCGAUCAUCAUGCUCUGGCUGUGGUUGGACAGAGUUCCCUCUUCACACAGAGCAGAGUGCAUUGCGGUUGCACCCUGCCAUCACCACCGUUGUUUGAAGAUUUACAAGGUUAGUUUUUAAACGCCCUUGCAUCAAACAGAAACAUAUAUGCAUGCUGUUUCUGUCUUAACAGCUGUCAGUCCUAAACCACAGUGUGAAUAGUGAAUCUUUUCCAAUAAGCUGCACAGAGCUGGAGUGGAAGAUCCUUUCCGCAAGCCACAGCAUCCCUAAGCAGACUCUGGGCAUCUGAGAAGGAGACCUGGCCAUUCCCCAAGACAUCUCUGCAGGGGCUGAUAACCAGUACUCCAGGAACACGGGAGAUGUGGGUCUUCAUUUCGGGGGAGCCAAGAGCAGAAGACAGUUGUUAGGGCCACAGUUAAUACUCUAUUCAAGUUAUGGCACCAGCUCUGAAAACAGCAGUUCUAAGAAGUGUGUCCGCUCCUCUGCCCUCCUUAUUCCCAGCAAGAAUCCAAAGGGUGUGUGAAAUAUAACUCGGACUCUGGUACAGAAAUAAAUCAGGUUUCCUGUAGGAAGGGAAGAUGUCUGGCAUUCGCUGACACUGCUGGCUACUGCUUCAAUGAAUGAGGAUUCAUAUCACAAUCAGUUUUGCAAGGCUGGCGAGGAGUGGUAUGGUACAUUGACCUGCUCCUGCUGCUUUUGGGGUGUGGCAUAAAGAUCCCUGACGUGCAACAGUGGUGCUUUUGGUGACAGCAGAGCCUGGGACCACUGCCUGGGCCCAAAGCCGUCCUCACGGGCGUGAGGAGGCUGGAGUACUGUGCCAACCCCUAGAGAUGGAUGUUUGACCCAGAAGCACAGAUCCCUGUACCGCACCCAGUACUAGCGAGUACCGGUCUAAGCAGAGGUUCUGGCAGCGGUGGUGCUGCAGGGCUGGCUGCUGUGGCAAGACACCAGGGGCUGCCCUCAGUGGAUGGAGCCAGCUCCAGCCGGCUGCAAUAGGGACCUGCCAAAGCUGAGCCACAGUUCCCCAGUGCUGAGCAGAGGGGAAGGAUUGUCAGACUGCUACUCCCCAAGCAAGGUGCCUUCACCAGAGUGUAAAAAGCAGCGGUGUUCCUGCCCGCUGUCCUGUCAGACUGGCCCAUGAGGGAGCUGCCUGGCAGCUGGCCCGAGACAGAAGAAGAGAAGGCUGCCUUUGAAUUUCAAACACCCUGAGAUCUGACAAAAGCUGUGCUGGCCAUUCUCUGAACUGUAAUCCUCCCCAACCGAUUCUUUGCUGGCCCUCUCCAUGGCAUUUCGGUGAGAGCACAGCAGAUUCGUUUCCGUCUUCCAAAUGGAGCACCCCAAAAGCUGUCAUCUGCUUUCUGUCAUCUGGUAUGUCAUGACAUAAUUCCAACUGCUUGCUCUUUUUUAACCCUUUCUCGCUCCACAUGUGAUAUAGAAUUGUCUUUCCUCCUCUCUCUGCUGUGGGUUUUUGUGUUGCCUGUCUCUGCCUUUACCUCUAGAGAGGAAGGUUUCUAGAGGGAAGAUUUCACAUAGAAUAUAAAGAGAUUUGGUUCUCAGCCCAAGUGCUCAGUACUCCUCUGAAAAUAAACGUGCUUUCCAUCACCACUGAAGAGUCUUUAAAAAAAUUUUUUCUGUAUGAGUAAAUCUACUUAUCUCAGCAUUUGAGGACCCACAUUUUAUUUUAAACAACAGAAGAAUCAAGCAAUAAAAAAAAAUUAUUGAAGUGCUGAAAUUGGCAGUGAUAAAGCUGGUAUUUUAUUAAAUAUAACCUAUUUGGAACCUAUUUAAGUGACUGGUAAAGCGUUUAAAACGUAUUCAGUAUUUACAUAAAAUUUGACUUCAUAUGGUAGAAGCCUUCCUAUUGUGGUUCCCAGGCAGAGCACAGUUAUUGGAAUUCAUUGCUUGGCUGGUUCUUUGAGGGGUCAAUUUCCAGUAGUUUCCCCAUGACUGGUAGGAUCUGAAGGCACUGAGGAAAUCCCGAUGAAGACAGCUGACCACAUUGCAUCACAACUGAUGCAAAUUAAUUGAGCCCAAUUUAUGCAGGGCUACAUUUACUUGCAAGAGAGCUAAGCUUUGGUCCCUGCAAUAAAAGCAAAAUGUCAGGGAGGAAAGGUCAGAGACAGACUUCAGAAGUUGCUGCGGAGAAGAAUCAGUUAUUUCAGCUCCCCACUUUAAACCUGAACUCAGUAAUAUUCUUCCCUACGUUGUGGGUUUUCCAUAGGGAUCUCCCAGUUUGUUGAAGGAAUAACCAGGCUGGAGAGGGAAUGGUUGAAGGUAGUAAAGCAACAUGUCAAACCCCUUUUUUCCACAUUAUAAAUUCAACUGUCUGGGAGGAAACCACCUCAUGACUUGGAGCACUUUAGGGCGAACAUUAAUAAUAACGAAUUCUAAUUGGUCAUUAUUGCUUGAACAGAAAAUAUCGGAUUUCAUUUUCACCAGGAGGAAAUGAAAAUGUCAUGUACUGUAAUAUGACAAGCAUGGAAUUUACAGUAGUGAUAUGUACUUGUAAUUACCUUUAUAUGUGUAAAGGCACACAAAGCAGAACACCAGGGAGGCUGUUUUACAACAGAUUUAAUCAAGAGAACAUCCACGUCUCCUCGUAAACUUACUUAACCAACUUUGAAAAAAGAAUGGAGUUGAUUAGACAGGUUAAUGGGGUGAUGUCUUUAUAAAUGACAGAUGGCCACGUUAGAACAGAAAGUUGUUCACUCUCCAUUUUUUAUUUUAUUUUACUUAUGAGACUAUUUUACUGCUUUUUUACUUAUGAAACAUUGCUCAUACAUUUUUGAUUAGCAGUGGUUCACUGAAAAAAAAAGCAAUUUCCAAUGCAACUGAACUUUCAACUGGAUGGAUGUUGUCAUUAUGCUUAAGUGGCAAUAAUCAAAACGAAAAUACAAAAUGAAUUUUUUGGAAUUCCAGGUCCUUAUAAACAUUCUGACCUCCCCACAUUGGCCUGCAAAUGGAGAAAAGUGCUUACAGAUUUGCAAGCUCAUAAGAACGUAACAAAGGAAGGUAAUAUGAAGAAAGAAGGUAGCUUUUUUAUGAUAAAGGGAACCCAUUAGUAGUGAAUUUGACAAAGUAAUUAAAAAAUUAGAAUUCAAAAAAAGGCAAGAGUCUUGGAAAAAAAAUCCGCCUUGGACAUAAUGAUUUUAUCUCAGAAUUAUCAAAGCGUAGAAUGUGGAAUAGCCUUGCUUGUUAGUCUUCGCUCAGAUAUAUGAGGUAUCACACAAACCGUACUAACUGAAGGAGGAUUCACUGAGUACCUACACAAAGACCUCUGGUACGUGCUCUGGGGACCCUGGCCAGGCUUGAAGAAGAAGAAGUGCAAUAGCUGAAGUCGUUGUUGAAAGCCACCGCCACAGCAGCGUCUUUCCUGGUGUCUUUCCUGGACAGCAGGCUGCUUGGCAGAGGUCUGUGUGCCGGCAUGUGCCACAAUCAGUGAGGCUCUGCCUAAAGAUUUCCAGUGCCCGCUUGGCUGUUAGAUAAUCACAAUCCUGUGAUUCUUUUUGCAGCAUUCUCUCAUCUCUCUACUCCCAUAUGAAAAAUGGCCAUUCCUAACCAGCCUAGAAAUAAUGACAAAAUCAUGUGCGUUGCUAACCUUCUACUCUUUUUGCCUCCUCCUUUGGCAUUUGUCACUGAUCUGAAGUGUACAGCUUCCUCAUCUGAUGUGGGUACUUGAUUAAAACAAUCCUAUCAAACAUCUCUCUAGCCUUCCAGACAAGAAUUCGAAAACCAAAGUCUAUCAGGAAUGUUUUAUCUUGAAAAUUUCUGUGUGAAUUUAGGAUUUAUGAGAAGCACUGGACUAAAUUUUGGAAAAACUCUGGAUCCGUGGGGCCUUUGUGCAUUUAUCAGGAUUGAAGUACCAGUGCAGUGAAACAAUCCUUAAGUAUGUAUGUGAAACUCUGCAGUAGAUAGCAGUAAUGAAAGAUGAUUCUAGAUACUCAUUCAGGACAAUGUGGCUGCAGCAAGUCAGAAUCUGGCUCAGAAUUUUUGCAAGCUUUCCAAGUGCUAGCAUACUGAUGAUUUUUGAAUAAAGUACAAUAGUGUAUCACAAGUUUAAUUUCAUUUAUCUGUAGAUAAAUUUCCAUAAUGGUGGCUAAUCCUCAUUAAGGGGAACAGAUUAGCUUAUCCCUUAGCUAGGUGAGUAGGUGGCUGGCAGCUGCAGAGAGGUAGUGGUCUAGCUUUUAGUGGAAACGUUAUAAUCGGCAGGUUUGGGUGAUAGUUUGAAAUCAUAUUUAAGUUACUACACAACUCAAUCGACUUGUCCCACAAUUCAGUCUUAUUAACACAAAGAAAAUAAUUUUCACACAGGGUAUUCAUCUAGGUAAUAGCUGUGACUGGCUUUGUGUUCCGUUUUGGCAUUUCCAACAGAUUAAUUGCUGUAACGUCAGUAGCACCACUUAUCAGUGAAUUACCAUCUGGUCCAGCGUUGCCAAACUGAGAUGGACAUCGUGCCAUGGAAAUUGUUAAGAUCUACCUUUGCUCAAUUAAUUUCUUAAGUUCAGUCAAACUUUUGCCACGUCAUAAUACCACAUCCAACCCCGUCUGCCAGAUUCCAGAUUUUCUGCAGAGCUCCUAUUUUCCUCAGAGUUAGCUAGACACUCACAGCAUUUUGAGGAGGAGGUACGAUUUUUUUUUGUUUUCAGUUGGUGCUGACUGGAGUAAUGAGAUCAGUGGUGGAUCUCUGGUGUCAUAAAUGUAGUAGGGAUAGGAUGUAGGGGAUAAUAUAGAAAGGAUUAUGCAAAAAGAUUUGUAUCUUCAGGAAAUACUAACUUUCACAAUGCCUGAUGCUUAACUGUAAGCUAUUGUCUGCCAGCACGUGGCUGCCUUGCAAAGUACUCAGUUUGAGUGCCUUGAUAUACAAAAUACCAUAGCUCAUCUAUUCAGACAAUCCUUGAUCACUUUAUUGUGAUUUCUUAAAGUAAGUAAAUAUGUAAAAGAAUGUUCCUUGCUAUAUGGUUAUUAUAAUCCUAUGGAAGACUGCAGUUUAGAAGAGCCUGGUAAAUGCUGCAGUCUUCUAAAUCUUUUCACUCUCUUUUCGUUCUGUUCCUAAAACACCGAUUCCCUUGAUUCUUUACUUCUCUGUAUGGGCUGUUUCCCUGUUCACCUCCUUGCCAUUGAUCCCUGUUUCUAUUAAAACAGUCUCUUUGUCCCCAUGGCUUCCACUUUCUGCGGUUCUGUUCUCUGUUAAAUUCACCUCACUGUUUUGAUACAGUCCCUCUCCUUCCUUCCAGGACAUGAAGAUCACCUCCUCUUACUUGUCCUGCUCACCCUCCUACACUCAGUCCUAUCAAACCUCCCUCCAACAGAGCCUCCUCCCUCUGAAUCUGUGCAAGUACCUCUUCUCUGCAGGGAGAGCUAUACUGAAAAGGAAAUGAGGUGAUAAAAAAACGUGUGACAGAUUAAAAUGCAAGUUAAUUAGUUAGUACUUAUAAUAUAGAAGUUUCAGGCGAGCCAAAGUCAAUACAGAUCCAAAAUAUAUAAAAGCUAUUUAAAAAGAAGAAAAACAAAUACAGCACGAAUUCUCAGAGACACCACCCAGCACCACCUUUUUCUUUUUGUGCUGCUUUUUUUUCAGUUGCUGCAUGCUCGCUGGGAAACAAUGGCUUAGCCAAAAUCCUCAGGCUUUUCUGUUCUCUUCUGGUUUUACUUCAGCAUUGUGAUCCAGAGAAGUACUAAAAGCCAGAGAGAGAUUACAUAGCUUAUGCGUUCAUUACAAGAGCAUCUCUGAUCUUUGCAGUUGUAACUAUACAAUGGAGCUGAAAGACUGAAGCAUCACAAUAGGUACUGUUUCAAUAACAAUAAUAAAAAUAAUAAUAAUUCAA
This is a long non-coding RNA of Falco peregrinus (peregrine falcon), 13258 nucleotides long. RefSeq lists it as uncharacterized. The transcript is spliced from 7 exons. The record is from RefSeq and is a predicted model, not a curated record. Lineage: Eukaryota; Metazoa; Chordata; Aves; Falconiformes; Falconidae.